CUGAACAGGCGGGCCUCGAUCCCGCAAACACUAGUUAACAGCUAACAGCCCAAACCAGCGGGCUUCAAUUCG
Molecule: transfer RNA, 72 nt
Filed under: Anolis auratus (grass anole)
Lineage: Eukaryota; Metazoa; Chordata; Lepidosauria; Squamata; Anolidae
Description: tRNA-Asn
Source: RNAcentral